Molecule: ribosomal RNA, 429 nt
Filed under: Verrucomicrobiota bacterium
Lineage: Bacteria; Pseudomonadati; Verrucomicrobiota
Description: Verrucomicrobia bacterium partial 16S ribosomal RNA
Rfam family: Bacterial small subunit ribosomal RNA
Source: RNAcentral
UAGGGAAUCGUCCGCAAUGGACGAAAGUCUGACGGAGCAACGCCGCGUGAGUGAAGAAGGAUUUCGGGUCGUAAAACUCGGUUGUUAGGGAAGAAAAAAUGUAUAGUAACUAUAUACAAAAGAGACGGUACCUAACCAGAAAGCCACGGCUAACUACGUGCCAGCAGCCGCGGUAAUACGUAGGUGGCAAGCGUUGUCCGGAAUCAUUGGGCGUAAAGCGCGCGCAGGUGGUUUAGAAAGUCUGAUGUGAAAGCUCACGGCUCAGCCGUGGAGGGUCAUUGGAGACUGAUAAACUUGAGUGUGGGUAAGAACAGUGGAAUUCCUAGUGUAGCGGUGAAAUGGGUAUAGAUUAGGAAGCACACCGGGGGCGAAAGCGACUUUUUGGCCUGAACCUGACACUGAAGCGCGAAAGCGUGGGGUGCAAACAGG